Molecule: ribosomal RNA, 322 nt
Filed under: uncultured eukaryote
Lineage: Eukaryota
Description: partial 18S ribosomal RNA
Rfam family: Eukaryotic small subunit ribosomal RNA
Source: RNAcentral
CCCUUAGAUGUUCUGGGCCGCACGCGUGCUACACUGAGUGGAUCAGCGGGUCAGGUUGCGCGAAAGCGUUUCCUAAUCUUUAAAUCCGCUCGUGAUGGGGAUUGACGGUUGCAAUUUUCUGUCAUGAACGAGGAAUGCCUAGUAAGCGCGAGUCAUCAUCUCGCGUUGAUUACGUCCCUGCCCUUUGUACACACCGCCCGUCGCUCCUACCGAUUGAACGUGCUGGUGAAGCGUUAGGACUGGCUCUCGGGGCAGGUCUCCUGCCCCUUGAAUCGGGAAUUUCGUUGAACCCUCCCGUUUAGAGGAAGGAGAAGUCGUAACA